Molecule: small RNA, 494 nt
Filed under: Pan troglodytes (chimpanzee)
Lineage: Eukaryota; Metazoa; Chordata; Mammalia; Primates; Hominidae
Description: retained intron
Source: RNAcentral
AGACUCGCUGCUCCAGGCCCUCGCCUGCUUGCCCACAGGACUCCGGCUAUGUCAUCGCCCUGCGCAGCUACAUCACUGACAACUGCAGCCUCCUCAGCUUCCACCGUGGGGACCUCAUCAAGGUGCUGCCGGUGGCCACCUUGGAGCCAGGCUGGCAGUUUGGCUCUGCCGGGGGCCGUUCCGGACUCUUUCCUGCCGACAUAGUGCAGCCGGCUGCCGCUCCUGACUUUUCCUUCUCCAAGGAGCAGAGGAGUGGCUGGCACAAGGGUCAGCUGUCCAACGGGGAACCAGGGCUGGCUCGGUGGGACAGGGCCUCAGAGCGCCCUGCCCACCCUUGGAGCCAGGCACACAGUGACGACUCGGAGGCCACCAGCCUGUCCUCUGUGGCCUAUGCCUUUCUGCCCGACUCCCACAGCUACACCAUGCAGGAAUUCGCCCUGCGUUACUUCCGGAGGUCCCAAGCCUUGCUGGGCCAGACUGAUGGAGGUGCCACA